GGCUUCGGUUAUCAUUAACGGAAAAGGCCCGUUCUCUGGUGAGAGAGGAACCCUAGAUCGCGUUGUCGGGAGGUCGUCGCCUCCACACUGGCUUGACGUUUCCGGUACCUUCCGCAGAGAAACGGUUCAGCCUUUACUACCAUUGAUUGGUACCUCCACUAUGUGCCUUCAAUGCGAUCCUUGCGUCUCAGAGGCGAUGGGGUUUCUGCGUAUAAACUUAGGGUUCAUUGUCUUCUUCGAACUCACCUUCUUCGAUCUGUCCUCCAAUAUGCGACGUCUUUAGCCUGCAAUGGAGAUUCAGCAUGUCGUCUCGGAGGAAUCAUUUCGAGGAGACUCUGUGUCAUGGUGAGAUUUCGUUUUUUCGUCUUCACUGAAUGAAUCAUCAGAGAUGGUUCGAUUUGUCUGGAUUCAAUGAUGUUACUAAUCUUCUUAACUCCCUCAAUUCCCGUCAAGCACGACACCCUCAUUCGAUGAUACGUAUCCAUGUCAGAGUCGGUGUUUCUCCACUUAUAAACAGCUGGCCAUUCUUCUUCCACCCUCGAAGUGAGGCUACUGAUUUUUUGGGAAGCUAGAAACGUCGAACGUGGUGGGGAGUCGAUAUGCUUCUCCUAGAUGCCAAGAUAUCUAUCUCGAUCAACAGCGCUUCCAUGGUUUGCUCAAGUGUGAAACUAGAGAACAUAAGGAAGAGCUCCAAAGGCGUCAUUAUGCUCAAGUACGUUACUUGGGAAGUGAAAAGAGGAGAGAGAGCAGGGCUAGUAAGCUUUAGCGGAGCGGGGGAAGACGACCCAGCUCAGGAUCAUCAAGAACCCGAUUCAGGUUACGUUAGAGUUCAUGGGUGAUUUCAAGGAAGAGAUGGAGAUAACCAAGAAGCUGGAGAAAAUUCAGAAGGUUAUUGAAGGCUCUGUAUAUGGGAAGGUUCUUAGACGAGUUUGAUAUGUUGCAGAGAAGAUCUCAAGCUGUGAACUUAGACAUGGUCUAAGUUAAAGUUAGUAAGCUGAUACUGGGGUUAUGGUUUGUACCAGAGGAUGCUGAUAGGCUUGUGGCUUCGUUUAGCGGUGGAUGGCAAAUGAGAAUGUCACUCAGAAAUAUUCAGCUUCAGGAUCCAGAAUUGCUGCUACUUGAUGAGCCUACAAACCAUUUGGAUCUUGAUACUAUUGAAUGGCUUGAAGGCUAUUUUCAAAAGAAAGAGAUGCCUAUGGUUAUAAUCUCACACGACAGAGCCUUCUUGAUCAGUUGUGUACCAAAAUUGUGGAAGCCGAGAUGGCUGUUAGAAGAACAUUCGAGGGUAACUACUGUCAAUAUAUGAUCUCAAAGGUAGAGUGAUUGAAACUCAGAAUGCAGCUUGGGAAAAACAGCAGAAAGAAACUGAAUCAACUAAGGACUUAAUCGCUAGGCUUGGCGCGGGUGAAAACUUUGGCCGUGUUCAACUGCCGAAAAGAUUAGGUGGUUGAAAUGCUUCAAUGAUUUCCUAAGUAUAACGGUUGGUGUGCCCCUUCUCAAGCGGGCUUCAGGAAAUUGAAGAGUUAAAUAAAUAACUAAGGGAUUGGAUUUAAAAUGUUAUCUCUUCUUCUUUCUAAUCUGUCCUUUUUCUGUAACAACUCUAAUCUUUCCUUUAUAAUUCUUCUUCUCAUGUUUCAGGAUUAGAUAAUUUACAUUGAGGAUAUGCAAUUCUAGGAUAAAUAUUACAACAAGUCAGUCGAGUUGCAGCUAUUGCUGAAAGGAACAAGUGAUGGUAUUUGGUACCCAUCAGCACUCAACCAUUGUCUUCUUUUUCUUCCUAAAGAAACAAAUUAUUCAAACUUUAUAAUAUCAACAAAGAAAUAAGAGU
Molecule: long non-coding RNA, 1828 nt
Organism: Brassica oleracea var. oleracea
Lineage: Eukaryota; Viridiplantae; Streptophyta; Magnoliopsida; Brassicales; Brassicaceae
Exons: 5
Source: RefSeq, a predicted model, not a curated record